AUACGUAGGGUGCGAGCGUUGUCCGGAAUUACUGGGCGUAAAGAGCUCGUAGGUGGUUUGUCGCGUCGUCUGUGAAAUUCCGGGGCUUAACUCCGGGCGUGCAGGCGAUACGGGCAUAACUUGAGUACUGUAGGGGAGACUGGAAUUCCUGGUGUAGCGGUGAAAUGCGCAGAUAUCAGGAGGAACACCGGUGGUGAAGGGGGGUCUCCGGGCAGUAACUGACGCUGAGGAGCGAAAGCAUGGGUAGCGAACAGGAUUAGAUACCCUGGUAGUCCAUGCCGUAAACGGUGGGCGCUAGGUGUAGGGGUCUUCCACGACUUCUGUGCCGUAGCUAACGCAUUAAGCGCCCCGCCUGGGGAGUACGGCCGCAAGGCUAAAACUCAAAGGAAUUGACGGGG
RNAcentral lists this ribosomal RNA (398 nucleotides) under uncultured bacterium. RNAcentral's name for it is "partial 16S ribosomal RNA". It matches the Rfam family "Bacterial small subunit ribosomal RNA", at positions 523 to 918 of the family's 1533-position model. The record is from RNAcentral.